UUUAUAUUAGUAGAAAUACCGAUGGAUAUGGAUAUGUAACCCGUGUUUUUUUUUUGUGUGUGUGGGAGGGGGGGGGGGGAGGGGUGUCGACUCUGUUAUGCCUCAAUGGUUGGCUUUGCCUGAUUUUUAUAAUAUAUAGUUUUGGAAAAAAAUACCCAUAGAUACGGUGAUGUAUCGCGUGUUCUUCUUUAAAAUACGUGGUCGACUCUGUUGGGCCUCGAUGGCUGGCUUUCCCUGAUUUUAAUAAUAUAUAAUCUCAAAAAAAUAAAAAUACCCAUAGAUACGGAGAUUUAUCGCGUGUUUUUCUUUAAAAAUUUCUAUUUUUAUGUACUAUACUAAACAUGCCGUUCCUUCAGAGAACUGGUAGUCACAGUAUACCUGGCUCAGCAUGGCCAGCUCCGCUGCUAACCGGGCCUGGCAUGGCUCGUAGGCCCGCAUAUAAACGGGUGGGGCCAGCCCGCUGCGGCGAAAGCCAUGGCUGUGUGCCCAACCAGGCUGGCCUAGGCCCGUUUAGCCUGCGGCCCGCAAAGAGUAUACAAGAAAAAAAUAAUGCUCAAUAGGGCAA
Molecule: long non-coding RNA, 565 nt
Filed under: Brachypodium distachyon (stiff brome)
Lineage: Eukaryota; Viridiplantae; Streptophyta; Magnoliopsida; Poales; Poaceae
Description: long non-coding RNA (BDIS_LNC000203)
Source: RNAcentral